This 397-nucleotide ribosomal RNA is filed under the name uncultured bacterium. Its description in RNAcentral is "partial 16S ribosomal RNA". It matches the Rfam family "Bacterial small subunit ribosomal RNA", at positions 523 to 918 of the family's 1533-position model. The record is from RNAcentral.
AUACAUAGGGGGCGAGCGUUGUCCGGAAUGAUUGGGCGUAAAGGGCGCGUAGGCGGCCCGGUAAGUCUGGAGUGAAAGUCCUGUUUUUAAGAUGGGAAUUGCUUUGGAUACUGUCGGGCUUGAGUGCAGGAGAGGUAAGUGGAAUUCCCAGUGUAGCGGUGAAAUGCGUAGAGAUUGGGAGGAACACCAGUGGCGAAGGCGACUUACUGGACUGUAACUGACGCUGAGGCGCGAAAGUGUGGGGAGCAAACAGGAUUAGAUACCCUGGUAGUCCACACUGUAAACGAUGAAUGCUAGGUGUAGGGGGUAUCGACCCCUUCUGUGCCGCAGUCAACACAAUAAGCAUUCCGCCUGGGGAGUACGGCCGCAAGGUUGAAACUCAAAUGAAUUGGCGGGG